UCUCGCUGCCCUUUUUGGGCGUUUCCUCCCUAGACUUCGGGCCGCCCCUUCGGGGGUGGCCUUUUCUUUGUCCGGG
RNAcentral lists this small RNA (76 nucleotides) under Methylobacterium pseudosasicola. RNAcentral's name for it is "suhB". It matches the Rfam family "Makes More Granules Regulator RNA (mmgR)". Rfam says of the family: SuhB later renamed mmgR (makes more granules regulator) was a putative non-coding RNA found multiple times in the Agrobacterium tumefaciens genome and related alpha-proteobacteria. Other non-coding RNAs uncovered in the same analysis include: speF, ybhL, metA, and serC. The record is from RNAcentral. Lineage: Bacteria; Pseudomonadati; Pseudomonadota; Alphaproteobacteria; Hyphomicrobiales; Methylobacteriaceae.